CCUACGGGAGGCAGCAGUGGGGAAUAUUGCACAAUGGGGGAAACCCUGAUGCAGCGACGCCGCGUGAGUGAAGAAGUAUUUCGGUAUGUAAAGCUCUAUCAGCAGGGAAGAAAAUGACGGUACCUGAUUAAGAAGCCCCGGCUAACUACGUGCCAGCAGCCGCGGUAAUACGUAGGGGGCAAGCGUUAUCCGGAUUUACUGGGUGUAAAGGGAGCGUAGACGGCAGCACAAGUCUGGAGUGAAAUGCCGGGGCUUAACCCCGGAACUGCUUUGGAAACUGUGCAGCUAGAGGGCAGGAGAGGUAAGUGGAAGUCGUGGUGUAGCGGUGAAAGGCGUGGAUAUUAGGAGGAACACCAGUGGCGAGGGCGGCUUACUGGACUGUAACUGACGUUGAGGCUCGAAGGCGUGGGGAGCAAACAGGAUUGGAUACCCGGUAGUC
This 439-nucleotide ribosomal RNA is filed under the name uncultured bacterium. RNAcentral describes it as "partial 16S ribosomal RNA". It matches the Rfam family "Bacterial small subunit ribosomal RNA", at positions 338 to 795 of the family's 1533-position model. The record is from RNAcentral.